UUUUCAGACCAGAUCACUACAGCCGUACUAGCAGGUGUAGUCUUGAUCUUACUCAUUUUAACAUUAGUGUUUUGUAUUUUUCAGACCAGAUCACUACAGCCGUACUAGCAGGUGUAAUCUUGAUCUUACUUGUUAUCCUGGUUGUGGUGUUUAUUCGGAUGAGGAAGAUACAAGUGUCAUACAGAAACUUUAGAUGACCAACUGCAGAAUAUGAAUAUGUACAGCUACAAUAUUAUGAUGAUUAUUCUGACUGAUUACACUAUUACUGUACACCAGAUAUUUCUAUUAAUUGACACCCAAUAGUUGCUCAAUUCAACAAUAGUAUUACAUAACUGUCAACAUGGUAUACAGUUGAUUAAUAUGUCAUAUUAUUUUUCUAUGCUUAACACACAGUUACAACACUAUCUGGUGUACAGGGAUACACUUUGAAUGUCACAAAUAUACAAUUACAUUAUUACAAUAUUACAAUGAUUUUUGAAGCCAGAAUAUUUAUCAUUUAUCACAUACAUAUAUUCAACAAGCCUUUCUUUCUCAGGAAUUAUUUAUUACACCCCCACUCUCAAAAUGAGGACUAUAUUGCAUUCAUUUUGUUCGUCCAUCCACGUUCAUCAAGCAUGCCAACAGUAAUAAGUUGUAAUGAAUUGUAAAUGUGUGCGCUCUUUUCUGAUCUGUGCAAUCUUAAAAAAUAAUCAAUAAUGCUGAUAUAAUUGUAAUUUUCCUCAAGCUGAAGUAUUGAAUUGAAUGAUGUGAUUUCAAACUUCACAUAGUUUUUGAGAAUCGUAGUUGGAGGUCUUUGUAUUCAUUUAACAAUCAGCAUUAACAUUCACUGUUAUUUAACCUUAAUCCUAGAAAAAAAUUCUUAAUCAAUAGCACAUUUAUUACGAUAUUUUGCAAUGCUUUUUAAACUAUUUAUUAUAGGGACAAGCUUUAACUACAUGUCUUUCAAAAGUAAAACACUUUUUUUUUGCUUUCUUGCUUGAAAAUAAGAACUAACAGAAAACACUAAACUUUACUAAGCCUCCAUAUAUGAUUUAUAAAAAGGAAUGUUUUUGUAUAUAUGUAAAAAUUUAAUUUAUAUUAUUAUAAGUUCGUAUUUUCUUCAGAAUUGCUCAAAAUUUGUCUCAUGUUUUUUGUAGAUAUGCAGAUAUAUUUUUAACAUUUGUACAUAUAAAUAUAUAUAUAUAUGAUCAAAAUUGUGUGUCAUUCCAAAGAGCAAAACUUUUAGCCUUGUAUGUAUGUGGUAAUGUAUUUUAUUGUAAAUUCACAAUUUAUGUACAUGUAUUAAUCAAAUACAAAAAAUAAAAACUUUACAGC
This 1314-nucleotide long non-coding RNA is filed under the name Mytilus galloprovincialis (Mediterranean mussel). Lineage: Eukaryota; Metazoa; Mollusca; Bivalvia; Mytilida; Mytilidae. The record is from RNAcentral.